UCUGUUCAAUCUGUAUUAUCUGGGAGACAAGUUUGAGCUGUGUGGAGCCAGGAACCUGAUCAAGGAAGUUGUCUCCAGCUUCAAGAUCAACCAGGAGAACUGGCUUGAUGUACUCAAGGGGGUCAAGAAAUACGAGGAUAAUUACCUGUUCGAAGAUCUCUGUAACAUACUUCAGGAUAAAAUUCAAGACUACCUGAAGGGUGUGACCUCUUCUGAUCAAUAUUUGGAGAGUAUUCAAGAAUCUGAAAUCAGAAAUGGAACAGAUCAGACACAGGGUUUCAUCAAGUAGAGAUGAAGAAUUCCAAAAAAAUCAAAAUCAUCGAUUUACAGACUCAAACUCAGAAUUUGGAAUCACAGCUAAAAAGCAUAUCAAAUAGAAAAAAAAUAUUAAAAAAUAUACACGAGAAAAUAAGGAAAAGGCAAGAGAGAUCCAGAUUUUAAAGUCCUAAGCCCUGUUUAAUUGCCCUUGUCAUGAGUAUGGAGGGAGGAAUGUUCCCUUGAAGGACAUAGUUGAGUAUCAAACAUUGUGAUUAUAUAGAGUAUAGAAAUUGUUAUCUGGAGCUGAAUACAGAAAUGAACAUAAGACUUGAUUUUAUAGGAGCUGUUGUUUACAAGCUGGAAGCAUCUGACAUCUGGUUUGUGAUUGUUAGAACUUUGAUUAGUGGAUCAGUGUGUUGCUCUACAUCAUGCAUUACAAAAAAGAAAAAAACAAUUUUAGAUAUUUUCAUAAUAGAGUUAUGAAAGAUAAAACGGUCAGAUGUGCUCUUAUGGGGAUAUCAGUUAAAAAUGCUUACAACAAUAACUUCACAACGACCAUGAACAAUGAACGUGCUCUUGUGUUGGCAUUAAAAAUAUAAAAAGCAUAACCAUCUUUGAUCACUAUCUCAUCUUAAACAUCUCAGGGAGUGUUUCUGAAAUAUAAAGAGUAUAUUGACAAACUAAAUUAAGGUUAUAUUUUAAAAUACAAUAAAGUAAUUAAGUUCUUGCCAAAAACUCUAACUUUAUAAUCCAUAUAUAUCUUUGUAACCAGCUACGGAACAUGAACUGUUUAUUGUCAACUAUGCGAGAACGAAGAAAUACAGAAAAUCUGAUAUUCCUUAUAGGCAGAGAAAAUUAAACUCCCUUGAUAUAACCUUAUCUUAUUUUGUGAUAAAACCCAUGAUGUAUUCAAUUAUAUUCUUAUAGAAUUUUAACCAUAUUAUAAUAUUUAUUAUGAUCUUGAUUUAUCUUGAAUAAAUCUUACUUUACUA
Eurytemora carolleeae is the source of this 1250-nucleotide long non-coding RNA. RefSeq lists it as uncharacterized. NCBI's taxonomy places the organism in Eukaryota, Metazoa, Arthropoda, Copepoda, Calanoida, Temoridae. The record is from RefSeq and is a predicted model, not a curated record. The transcript is spliced from 3 exons.